Molecule: ribosomal RNA, 16 nt
Filed under: Chlorella sorokiniana
Lineage: Eukaryota; Viridiplantae; Chlorophyta; Trebouxiophyceae; Chlorellales; Chlorellaceae
Also listed under: 538 other names
Description: partial 18S ribosomal RNA
Source: RNAcentral
UGCGGAAGGAUCAUUG